UACGAAGGGGGCUAGCGUUGUUCGGAAUUACUGGGCGUAAAGGGCGCGUAGGCGGUGUGUCAAGUCAGGCGUGAAAGCCCCGGGCUCAACCUGGGAACCGCGCUUGAGACUGGCACGCUAGAGUUCGGGAGAGGAUGGUGGAAUUCCCAGUGUAGAGGUGAAAUUCGUAGAUAUUGGGAAGAACACCGAUGGCGAAGGCAGCCAUCUGGACCGACACUGACGCUGAGGCGCGAAGCGUGGGAGCAAACAGG
RNAcentral lists this ribosomal RNA (251 nucleotides) under uncultured bacterium. RNAcentral describes it as "partial 16S ribosomal RNA". It matches the Rfam family "Bacterial small subunit ribosomal RNA", at positions 524 to 776 of the family's 1533-position model. The record is from RNAcentral.